This 484-nucleotide ribosomal RNA is filed under the name uncultured bacterium. RNAcentral's name for it is "partial 16S ribosomal RNA". It matches the Rfam family "Bacterial small subunit ribosomal RNA", at positions 30 to 507 of the family's 1533-position model. The record is from RNAcentral.
AUUGAACGCUGGCGGAAUGCUUUACACAUGCAAGUCGAACGAUGAACCUUAGCUUGCUAAGGGGAUUAGUGGCGAACGGGUGAGUAAUAUAUCGGAACGUGCCUUGUAAUGGGGGAUAACUAGUCGAAAGAUUAGCUAAUACCGCAUACGCCCUGAGGGGGAAAGUAGGGGAUCUUCGGACCUUACGUUAUAAGAGCGGCCGAUAUCUGAUUAGCUAGUUGGUGGGGUAAUGGCCUACCAAGGCGACGAUCAGUAGCUGGUCUGAGAGGACGACCAGCCACACUGGAACUGAGACACGGUCCAGACUCCUACGGGAGGCAGCAGUGGGGAAUUUUGGACAAUGGGCGCAAGCCUGAUCCAACCAUUCCGCGUGAGUGAAGAAGGCCUUCGGGUUGUAAAGCUCUUUCGCAAGGGAAGAAAACUUACCAUCGAAUAAAUGGUGAGGCUGACGGUACCUUGAUAAGAAGCACCGGCUAACUACGUG